GGUUAACGCUGGCGGCGUGCCUAACACAUGCAAGUCGAACGAGGCUUUCUUUCCCGUAAGGGAGAGAUUGUCCUAGUGGCGAACGGGUGAGUAGCACGUGGGCAACCUACCCUUCUGUGGGGGACAACUCCGGGAAACCGGGGCUAAUACCGCAUUCGGUCACCGUUCGCAUGGAUGGUGCAGAAAGCAGCAAUGCGCAGGAGGAUGGGCCCGCGGCCUAUCAGCUAGUUGGUGGGGUAACGGCCUACCAAGGCGAAGACGGGUAGCUGG
Molecule: ribosomal RNA, 270 nt
Filed under: uncultured bacterium
Lineage: Bacteria
Description: partial 16S ribosomal RNA
Rfam family: Bacterial small subunit ribosomal RNA
Source: RNAcentral